This 908-nucleotide small RNA is filed under the name Malus domestica (apple). RNAcentral describes it as "sRNA MD13G0088500". Lineage: Eukaryota; Viridiplantae; Streptophyta; Magnoliopsida; Rosales; Rosaceae. The record is from RNAcentral.
AUGGUGUUGGCACCAGUGUCCAGCACCCAAUUUGGUUAUGAAAAAGAAGAAGCAAAGCUAGAUUGAGCAAUAAGAGCAACAUGAGUAGCAAUUUGGUGCAGUGUGACCACGCUUAUUGCAUAUCUGACAUUCAAGAAUUAAUGUAUUUUGGAACCAUUGUUGCCAUUCCAGUUCUGCCAAGUAGAACUUCCCUUUGAGCCAGAAUUAGAACCUCCAUGAUUGCUUGAAUUUCCAGAGAAAAAGUUUGAACUCCCAGUAAACCUCCCAGAAUUGCCACCAUUAUACCUUGGCCUGUUAUUAAACCUUCCAUUAUUCCCACCAUAAUUUUGAUAGCUUCUCUAACUUGGAAAAUUGCCAUUGCCUUGUUGAUGAAAUUGAGGCAAGUCAGCUUGAGAGACAUUCCCACCAGUUGAUCUGGAGACACAAUUCUGAGACGCAUUAUUAGAUUCAUUAACAAAUCCAUAUCCACUAUUGAAAUAUUGAGAAGACCCCUGAGAAUUAGAAGCAACAUUAGAUGAUUCACCCUGACAGUACAUAGCUGACAUGGGAAAAGUCAAUGUGGAUUGUGAUUCCUCAGCUGUUCUUUCAGCAGACAAUAAUUGUGCUCUAAAUUCUUUUAAAGAAAUUGGAGUCUCUCGAGCAACAAUGACAGUACGAAUGACGUUGAAUUCUGCAGGCAAACCAGCUAAAGCAGCUACAAUGAGAUCAUUGUCUGAUACUACUUCCCCAGUUGCAGUGAGUUGAUCUUUAAGAGCUUUGAGUCUGAGCAUAUACUUCUCCACAAUAUCAGCACCUUUCUUGAUAGUGUGCAAUUCUGUUUUUAAAUGAUUGAUCCGAGCCCUAGAAACUGUAGCAUACCGAUCUUAAAGAUUUGUCCAGACCUCAUGAGUAGUCUUACAUCCUACGAC